GCAGCAUGGCAGCACGUGCUGCUUCCUCACCAAACACCUUCCCUUGCUGUGACACCCUCCCGAGCGUCAGCCGUGGGAUGGAUCUACCAGCUUUCACCAGGGCCGGGGCUGGCUUGCAUUCAGCAAUGUCCCACUGCAUUGCAAGCAAACAGAUGACAUUUCCUGGGCUUGCAAAGAGUUGGAACAGAUCAGAAACUUCAGGAUUCAAGAUGUUCUGCUCUCGUUGUGAACAGCGCGUGCUGCUAUAUUGGCAGAAAUGAUCUCAUGUUUUGUCUAAUCUAAAUUCUGUCAAGCAAGCAGGGAGAAGGAAAAAAAAAGAGAUGGAAAGCAAGCAAGAGAAGGCUACGCAGCUAAUAAAAAUCUGCGAGACA
Molecule: long non-coding RNA, 371 nt
Organism: Numida meleagris (helmeted guineafowl)
Lineage: Eukaryota; Metazoa; Chordata; Aves; Galliformes; Numididae
Exons: 2
Source: RefSeq, a predicted model, not a curated record